Molecule: long non-coding RNA, 274 nt
Filed under: Solanum tuberosum (potato)
Lineage: Eukaryota; Viridiplantae; Streptophyta; Magnoliopsida; Solanales; Solanaceae
Description: long non-coding RNA (STUB_LNC005219)
Source: RNAcentral
GGUGUCUAGUUGGAGAGAUUUCAUGAAGGGAACAAAGAGGGUAAGACUGUUAUUACCUUAUAUUGCAGGUUAAGAAAGGAGAAAUUUGGCCUCCAAAGUUGAAAACAGAAGAUCCCAAUAAAUCUUACGUUCAACGACCUGUGAAACGAGGUUAAAAACAUAUACUCAAUUAGUUCUGUUUCAGUGAUAUUUAAAGCUUGAACGGGCUAUGGUGGAGCGUAAGCUUAACGCUUAUAUCAAUUUGUAUCAGUAGCACACUUCAUUAUUCUGCAGC